CCCCGGCGCCACAAGUGGCAAUCGCGUUUACUGGGUCUAAAGCGUUCGUAGCCGGUUCUGUAAGUCUUUUGUGAAAUUGUUGCCCUAAAUGCAACAGCGGGCAAAAGAUACUGCUGGACUUGGGACUGGGAGGAGUUAGGAGUAUGCCGAGGGGAGCGGUAAAAUGUUAUAAUCCUCGGUAGACUACCUGUGGCGGAGGCGCCUAACUAGAACAGAUCCGACGGUGAGGAACGAAAGCUAGGGGA
Molecule: ribosomal RNA, 245 nt
Filed under: uncultured archaeon
Lineage: Archaea
Description: partial 16S ribosomal RNA
Rfam family: Archaeal small subunit ribosomal RNA
Source: RNAcentral